This 497-nucleotide ribosomal RNA is filed under the name uncultured bacterium. RNAcentral's name for it is "partial 16S ribosomal RNA". It matches the Rfam family "Bacterial small subunit ribosomal RNA", at positions 28 to 507 of the family's 1533-position model. The record is from RNAcentral.
GAUGAACGCUGGCGGCGUGCCUAAUACAUGCAAGUCGAGCGAACGGACGAGAAGCUUGCUUCUCUGAUGUUAGCGGCGGACGUGUGAGUAACACGUGGAUAACCUACCUAUAAGACUGGGAUAACUUCGGGAAACCGGAGCUAAUACCGUAUAAUAUUUUGAACCGCAUGGUUCAAAAGUGAAAGACGGUCUUGCUGUCACUUAUAGAUGGAUCCGCGCUGCAUUAGCUAGUUGGUAAGGUAACGGCUUACCAAGGCAACGAUGCAUAGCCGACCUGAGAGGGUGAUCGGCCACACUGGAACUGAGACACGGUCCAGACUCCUACGGGAGGCAGCAGUAGGGAAUGUUCCGCAAUGGGCGAAAGCCUGACGGAGCAACGCCGAGUGAGUGAUGAAGGUCUUCGGAUCGUAAAACUCUGUUAUUAGGGAAGAACAUAUGUGUAAGUAACUGUGCACAUCUUGACGGUACCUAAUCAGAAAGCCACGGCUAACUACGUG